RNAcentral lists this ribosomal RNA (358 nucleotides) under Limosilactobacillus fermentum. RNAcentral describes it as "bacterial SSU rRNA". It matches the Rfam family "Bacterial small subunit ribosomal RNA", at positions 56 to 377 of the family's 1533-position model. The record is from RNAcentral. Lineage: Bacteria; Bacillati; Bacillota; Bacilli; Lactobacillales; Lactobacillaceae.
UGCAAGUCGAACGCGUUGGCCCAAUUGAUUGAUGGUGCUUGCACCUGAUUGAUUUUGGUCGCCAACGAGUGGCGGACGGGUGAGUAACACGUAGGUAACCUGCCCAGAAUCGGGGGACAACAUUUGGAAACAGAUGCUAAUACCGCAUAACAGCGUUGUUCGCAUGAACAACGCUUAAAAGAUGGCUUCUCGCUAUCACUUCUGGAUGGACCUGCGGUGCAUUAACUUGUUGGUGGGGUAACGGCCUACCAAGGCGAUGAUGCAUAGCCGAGUUGAGAGACUGAUCGGCCACAAUGGGACUGAGACACGGCCCAUACUCCUACGGGAGGCAGCAGUAGGGAAUCUUCCACAAUGGACA